This is a long non-coding RNA of Equus quagga, 6304 nucleotides long. RefSeq lists it as uncharacterized. The record is from RefSeq and is a predicted model, not a curated record. NCBI's taxonomy places the organism in Eukaryota, Metazoa, Chordata, Mammalia, Perissodactyla, Equidae. The transcript is spliced from 3 exons.
UUUACUUUCUAAAAUUAUUUACUAAUUACGUGUUCUUUUUUGAUAAAGUGAGACCGAUUUGAGUGAUGUUAAAAUUUACCCAUCAUUCUGCCACCUAAAUGUUACCGAUGUUACCAUUUCCAUGAAUCUCUUUUUGGACGUGAGUGUGUGGCUGUGGUACACGUAUAUGUAACAUUUGAAAUGGGCUCACACUAUACUGUCUGUUCUGCAGCCUUUUCUCAUUUAAUGUUUGAUGAACAUCUUGUCUAGAGUGUGUGUGUUUACAUACACAUGCACACAGAUGUGUACAUGUAGGCACACGUACACACACGUGUUUACACAGAUUAUUGGCUGCAGGGUGUUGUGUCCUUGGACAUGUCCUGACUUAUUUACUCAGUGUCCUCUUCCUGGCUAUGUGCACUGAUCCUACUGGGGCUCUUAAAGCUGACGGUCCAUGGAUGUCAUAACAGGAAAAGUAUGCUGGCUUGGUCUACCUCCCGGUCAUUCCUAUAAGUGGACUUGCUCCUUCACAGGCCGUGCACACUCUCGGGCAUCUUGCAUUGAGGCUGACUUGCGCUGCAGAAGCGCUGUGCCCACCGUGAUCCCAGCGGCAGGGUGGGGAGGGCUCCUGUCUGCCACCCGCAGCACCGGAACCCAGAGCGGUUCUCUGGCUUUGAUGGCCUAUGCGAACAGCAUGGGGAUGGGUCCCAUGGAGGCCCCUGCCUCUGACAAUCGCCUCAACACUCUUCUGAGCUUCAGUCAGGCCCCCGGGAUUCAGGGAUCUCAAGGGUUUAGGAUAUUGUCUCAAUUUACAGAGAAAAAGAGAGAACAAGUGACAAGUGACAAAAUCCAUUUGCCCGAAAUCACACAGUGACUUAGUGCAAAGUUCAGAUGAAUAAUACUUUUUUAAAAUACUAGAAGAGCAGCAAGAGCAAAGAGCACUGAUUUGGGAGCCAGACAGUCUGGGUUCUUGUCUGGGUUCUCUUAAGCACCACUAAAUGACCUCGAACAGUUACCCCACCUCUCUGGGCUCAGUCUUCCCCUCCUGGAAAUGGGGGUAACAAAAAUGUUGCUUUGGGGUCCUCACGAGGCUGAGAUCGCAUCCAAGAACACUCACGGAGAGCGCAUUCAGGUUGGCAGUAUUGCUAGCUUCUCCACUGCUUUCUCUCUUUAGACCCACGCCCCCAAAGGCUUAGGGCUGGCAGGAGGUCAGUACGGAUUAAAUUGCUGGUAGCCAGCCCUGGUGGUCUAGUGGUUAAGAUUCAGCACUCACCCUGCCUCGGCCCGGGUUUAUUUCUAGUCAGGGAACCACACCACCCAUCUGUUGGUUGUCAUACUGUGGCAGGUGCCUGUUGCUGUGAUGCUGAAAGCUAUGGCGCUGGUAUUUCAAAUGCCAGCAGGCUCACCCACAGUGGCCAGGUUUCAGCAGAGCUUCCAGACUAAGACUAGGAAGAAGGACCUGGCCACCCAAUUCUGAAAAAACUGGCCAUGAAGGCCCUGUGACUAGCAGCGGAGCAUGGUCUGGUACGGCGCUGGAAGAUGAGAGGACGGCACAGCAAGACCGGGCAGGGUUCUGCUCUGCUGUGCACAGGGUUGCUAGAGUCAGAAUCGACUCAACAGCACUAACGACAAAAAUGUUCCCAGUACUCUGUGGUAGCAUUACCAUUCAUUAAUGAAGCAUCACCUGCGAGUUGUUAGAAAUGCCACUUAUGAGUCCCCAUGCAGAGCUCCUCAUCAGAAACUGGGGCUGGCAAAGCACAGGGCUCCAAGAGGACCUGCAGGGGGUUCCGAUCAGCUUAGUCUGAGAACCACUGCAUGAAGGCUCUGAGGAGCUCUCAGCAGUGGAAGGGCCUUUGGAGUUGGAGAGUUGUGGGUCACUCAGCUUUCCUCCCUUCCCACUCUGCCCUCAGGACAUCACAUGGAAUAUCUGGUCUCGGGGGCCUUGGGGACUAAGCUGGGGUGAUGAUCUCCACUCCUUUAGGUUAUUGUGACAAUGUGGGUAAACAUUUGGCCCAUAGCAAUUGCACCAGGGAUGGCUCCUUGUUUGGGAAUCCACAGGCACCCAGCGGCCCUGACUUCCUAAAGGCAGAACACACACACUCAGGUGCCCAGCGAGGAACCCACCAGGUGGAAACCCUCAGGGCUCAGCCUGCCCUGUGCGCGGCCCUGCGCCUGCGCCGCCACGGGGUCAUUAGGGGGAGGCAGGCACAGGUGGUCUCUUGCACACCUGCCCCAGCCUGUGGUGGGGACGCUGUGGGUACUUCAGGGCGCUGGGGCUCACCUGACACAGCGGCUCUCCAAGGGGUUCCGUCCUCACCAGAAGCAGGAUGAAGCUCAGAGCACAGGUAGGCGAGGGCAGGAUGGGGCGUCAGGGCUGCCUGUGGGCGCAGGUAGGUGGGGAAGGUUGAGGUGGAGCCGUGGGGCAGGAGGUGUGUGGUGUGCGCCUGGGGCAGCCUGGGGCCUACGUAGGCCAGGACAGGACAGGACAGGGUUUGGGGGCACGGCGGGUGCCCGAAGCCUGAGGCACAGGUAGGCGGGGAGGGGCACUCCAUGCAGCCCCAGGUGGGGAUCCCGGGGCGGGAGGCCCUGUUGGCCCCGUGGGCCCCAUUGGCCCCAUUGGCCCAGUGCUGGAGCAAGGCAGCUGCCCUGGUCUGGCCCACGCUCUGGGUUGGGCAGGCCUCACACUGGCACUCAGGAGCCUCCUGGUCCUAGCCUGAGUUGCUAAACGAUGCCCCUUGUCAGGCAUCCCUUGCCCACCCUUCCGGUCUGUGCCCCGAGCCCCGCGCCCCCACCCCCCUGUGCCCGGAGCCCAGGACCGCAGCGCCAACCCAGCAACAUCAGAGGGGAUCCUACGCCUGCCCAGGCACCUGGCACCCCUGCGCCUCCUCCCCCAUCCUCUCCCCGCAUUGUCUGGGAGCCCACAGCGCUGGGUCUCAGGCCCUUCCGGGGAAAGCCUGGAGGCCAAGGGGACCAGUUGCCCCAGGGCGUCGUGGCUGAGGAGGCCAUGGAUGCAGCGCUCCAGCUGCGAAAUGAAAAUCAGGGAGCGGAAUUAGGUAACGGUCCCCAGGUGAAGUUCAAAACCUGCCUUUCACAACGCUGCUUUGUGGCUCCCCAGGCACCCACCGGAUCGUGACCCCUCAACCACUUCCCCCGAGUCAGGGCAUCCUGGGCGGCCUUCUGCUCUCCCUGUGCCUGGGUCUCUUCAUCAGACAAAUAGAGAUUCUCUCUCCUCCUUUUCAUUUGUAAAUAUGUAAUACCUUCCCAUGGUUUCAAAGUAAAACAUAUGCAGGUUUACGGCCCUGCCCACCUCUGCCCAGGCCCGCCAUAAGUAAACAGCAUUUUUAGCUUCUUCUAGAACUUCUUUAGAUUCCUAUUUUUCCUCAGUUUGCACAGAAGACUCUACUCAAAACAUAGCCAUCUUUCCUCAUGCGUGUAUAUUACAAAAGCAUUUGUGUAUAAAGAACGGUUGAGGGCCGUUUCCCGUUUAUCUGUUAAGUUGUUGCUUUUCCUAGAUUUUAGGAAGGUUAGCCCCUUGUUCGUCUUUUAUAGAAAUUGCCGUUUGUCUUUUUUCACUUAGUAUGUCACUUUUUUUUUCUUUUUUUGGGGGGCUUUGCAGAAGUUUGAAAACAUUCUAUUUGGUUGAACUUGUUCUUUUCUUUCAUGGCUUCUGUGUUGUGAGUUAUCGGAAAGCCUUACUUCUGACAAACUUACAGAAGAACCCACCCAUAUUUCCUUCCAACACUUUUGUAGCUUUGUUUCUUACAUUUAAAUCUUAUAUGCAUUUGGGAUUUAUCUUGGUGAAUGAUAUAAGAGCCCAACUUUGUUUCAGAUUUUUCAAAAUUAUUGUUUUUUUCUAGUAAUCUAGGAAUUUUUAAAGAGUAGAAUAUUCAGUCCCUUGUCAUUUAUUUUAGUAUAACACAUAAGGUAGGGAUGUGGCUUUACUGUUGUUUUGGGGUUUGUUUCCCAAGUGACCAGUCAGAACAACAGGUAAUGAGAGAGAGAGACUCUCUCCCUCCAUCACCUGAAGGCCCGUCUUUCCCCACAGGUGUGUCUAGCUCAUCUGUUCUGAGAAUCUAUUUGUAAAACGAACUGUUUUAUCUGGAAGAUUUCAAUAUGUUACAAUGUUAUUGAAAAACAUAUCAGAUGAGCAACAUUUAAUAUUGGUUCUUAGUUCACUUUCAUAAAUAGGCUAGUUAAGUACCUCCUGCUAAUAAGAAAAUAGACUUCUGUUACCUUGUCAUUUCUUUCUUCUCCGAGUCCCACAUUUCUCCUCCCCCGUUUCUUUACUUCACUCUGAGCUCCUGGUCCCUGUUUGAAGUAGAAUGACUCCCACUCUCCUCUGACAAAUGCUAAUUAUCUGUCAUGGAAUUUGGGUCAUUUCUCUUCUUUUUCUCCAUGAUCUAGCAUGAGCUAAAAAAAAAAGUGAAUUAUCCCCACUUUCUACUUUAUUUCUAUUUCUCCUUAUUUCUCCUUGGAUUUUGCUCCCUGAAUGUCGAUGCUAUACCGUCUGGUGCAAAGGUAAUGAUAACAGAAAAGCAUUUUGGCUUCUAUUUUUUAUUCCUCUGUGCUUUUGUUUUUAGUCUUGUUUAAUGUAUCUUGCCAUGAAUUUAGCCUUUUCCGAUAUAAAGAUGGAAGUCCCUGCAUUUUUUCACUUUUAUGUCCUUGGGUUUCUUUGCCGUCAUCCUACUCUGGGACUUUCUGAAGCACUUAGCUUUGGGGCAGCCUACUGGAUACAGUGUAGAGUUGGAUUUGCUCCCCGAUCUGCUGUGCGAGUCUUUUAAUAGGUGACUUUAUUUGCCUUUAUUGACAUGGCAAAUGUUUGACCUUUAGUUCCCCAAAGAAGAUCUACAGAUGAUAACUAAGAUGAUCAACAUCGUCAUUACAGAAACUCAAAACCACUAUGCAAAUAAGAUACCACUACUCGCCUAUUAGAAAACAAAAAUUUUUUAAAAAAUGAAAAACUAACAAACCAAACGCUGGUGAGGGUGUGAGGUCUCUCAUACCUGGCCAGUGGGAUUGAAGAAUUGGGCGGCCACUUUGGAGAACAGUUUGGCAGUUUCUGAUGUCAACUCAUUCUCUGGACAAGGAAGCGUAUUCCAUGUUUGUUUGUGGAUACGCACCAGAAGAAUAUCUUUGAGGAAAUUGCUAAUGGCCAUUACCUAUGGGGACUAGGACAGGAAGAUUCUCCUCUUCAUGCACAAAUAUGUAUCACGAAUUCAAGGAAAGCAAAGUGGCAGUGUCAUCACCCCAAGCAGAAGCCAGCCCUGGGCAGAUGGCACCUGGAGGAGGCAACCCUCAGCCUUGGCCUGGGCCUGGAGGGGACUGUUAUCAAGGCUGCUGAUGUGCUUUUCCUGAGUUUCCUCACGUGAGCCCUGGUUCUUGCUGACUGCUGGCCCUGUCUGGGCAGUCGGAUGCAGUUGCUACUCCUACAGGAUGAGCAGGCUUCUGGAAAGGGCAGAAUCAUUCCCUUUGGAACAUUUUAUUCUCUUGCUCUUUAAGUAAAGUUCUAGUUCCUCCUACACCCUGUGUGACAACGGCUUUCUUAACAGUUUUAGGUGUCCUUGCUUCAAAAGGACAUUGUAACAGGAAACUGUUACUCCUACUGCCGAAAACUGAAUGCACGAGAUUGUCUCGUUAGAGUCGGAUUCAAUAUUCCCUGGCUACUGUGAAGGAUGCUGUGGGGCACAUGGUGUGCAGGUCUCUGCACUGUGAAGGAUGCUGCAGGGCACACAGGGCUGCAGAUCUCUCUACUAUGAAGGAUGCUGCAGGGCACAUGGGGUGCAGGUCUCUCUACUAUGAAGGAUGCUGCGGGGCACACGGGGCUGCAGGUCUCUGCACUGUGAAGGAUGCUGCAGGGCAUAUGGGGUGCAGGUCUCUGCACUGUGAAGGAUGCUGCGGGGCACAUGGGGCUGCAGGUCUCUGCACUGUGAAGGAUGCUGCAGGGCACAUGGGGCUGCAGGUUUCUGCACUGUGAAGGAUGCUGCAGGGCACAUGGGGUGCAGGUGUCUCUCUGAGAUUCUAUUAUCAGCUUCUAUGGAUGUAGACCCAGAAGUGGAAGAGCUGUAUCACAUGGCAGUUCUAUUUUUAAUUUUUUGAGGAACAUCCAUACUGUUUUCCAUAGUGGCUGCACCAAUUUCCACUCCCACCAGCAGUGCACAGAGGUUUCCUUUUCUCCACGUCCUCAUUACCAUUAGUAUAGUAUAACCACUUGUUAUCUCUUGUCUUUUCGAUGACAGCCAUUCUAACAGGUGUGAGGUGAUAUCUCAUGUGGCCUUGAUUUGCAUUUCCCUGAUGAUGCGUGACGUUAAGCACCUUUUCAUGUACC